GGUUCCAGGAACUGAAUUCAGGUCACCAGGCUUGGUGAAGACGUGUUUUACCAGCUGAGCCAUCUCUUCAGCUCUGAGCUAAUAUUUUCCAGAUGUAAAGAACUGGGCUAUGUUGUCUCAUCCCAAGAAACAAGAGAUCCAUGGCAGUGCAGUUGCUAAGCUUACUACUACUGCAGCCCCGGAGCUCGCAGUGCUGGAAGAUGGGUAGCACCGGUGAGGAUGACACAGAUACAGAUGGAACAAAACACCCGCCUACAGUGUUACCAGUUUGCUAGCGUGCUACCAGUUGUCCACCUUGACCAUGCUGAAGUACAGUUUGAAGAGGUCGUGGGGUGUGGGUAUGACUCGGAGCUACAUGCCACUCCUCACUGUGCCUUUUAUACACAUCACUGGCAGAGUGACACUUCCUCUUCUUCUAGACUUAGUCUAGAUGGAUGGCAGAUCCAUUGCCAAAUCCUUCCUGGAGCUCUAUGACACAAAAAGGAAGCUGGAGUAAUGUGGAAACUUCUGGUUUCUUUGGAAAGUCAGUUAUGCCAAAGAAUGUUUUGCUGAAGCAGACACGGGUGAAAGGUUGUUGUGCUAAAGUAAACACGUGGAAGGACAUGUGAAAAAGGAUUCUUUGAUAAUGACACACAUGUCUUGGUUCGCCUUACAUGUGUAGUUGAGCUGCGUUUGUUGUGACUCCAUAGAGAGAAACGCACCAAAAAAAACUUUGGUGGUAUGCUACCACUUCUGGAGGACAUGUGAUGCUUGGAGGAAGAAUAAAUAAGAGUCUGCAAUGCA
RNAcentral lists this long non-coding RNA (783 nucleotides) under Mus musculus (house mouse). RNAcentral describes it as "predicted gene, 32707". Lineage: Eukaryota; Metazoa; Chordata; Mammalia; Rodentia; Muridae. The record is from RNAcentral.